AGUGAACGCUGGCGGUAGGCCUAACACAUGCAAGUCGAACGGCAGCACAGGAGAGCUUGCUCUCUGGGUGGCGAGUGGCGGACGGGUGAGGAAUACAUCGGAAUCUACUCUGUCGUGGGGGAUAACGUAGGGAAACUUACGCUAAUACCGCAUACGACCUACGGGUGAAAGCAGGGGACCUUCGGGCCUUGCGCGAUUGAAUGAGCCGAUGUCGGAUUAGCUAGUUGGCGGGGUAAAGGCCCACCAAGGCGACGAUCCGUAGCUGGUCUGAGAGGAUGAUCAGCCACACUGGAACUGAGACACGGUCCAGACUCGUACGGGAGGCAGCAGUGGGGAAUAUUGGACAAUGGGCGCAAGCCUGGUCCAGCCAUACCGCGUGGGUGAAGAAGGCCUUCGGGUUGUAAAGCCCUUUUGUUGGGAAAGAAAUCCAGCUGGUUAAUACCCGGUUGGGAUGGCGGUACCCAAAGAAUAAGCACCGGCUAACUUCGUGCCAGCCGCCGCAGUAA
This 506-nucleotide ribosomal RNA is filed under the name uncultured bacterium. Its description in RNAcentral is "partial 16S ribosomal RNA". It matches the Rfam family "Bacterial small subunit ribosomal RNA", at positions 29 to 523 of the family's 1533-position model. The record is from RNAcentral.